RNAcentral lists this long non-coding RNA (234 nucleotides) under Elaeis guineensis (African oil palm). Its description in RNAcentral is "long non-coding RNA (EGUI_LNC066984)". Lineage: Eukaryota; Viridiplantae; Streptophyta; Magnoliopsida; Arecales; Arecaceae. The record is from RNAcentral.
GACCUUGGAUAUUAUACCAUCUUGGAUGUUGUACCCUUCGCUGCUGAUCAUAUGAUGUCUGAUCGUGAGUAGGCUAUGCUUUUUGAUACUAUGUUUGCAUGUAUGUGUAGUAGUCACAAGAGCUUGGCCUUGCUCAAUGUAAUAGGAGGAAGCAAUGCACUUGGACCCUUUGCUAUACCCAUAUAUGUAGGAGGGUACUGUGCAGAGUUGGAAGUCCUAGAUGAGCUUAGUGGA